Molecule: ribosomal RNA, 423 nt
Filed under: Callulina stanleyi
Lineage: Eukaryota; Metazoa; Chordata; Amphibia; Anura; Brevicipitidae
Description: partial 12S ribosomal RNA
Rfam family: Bacterial small subunit ribosomal RNA
Source: RNAcentral
AAACUGGGAUUAGAUACCCCACUAUGCUUAGUCAUAAAAAAUUAACUCACACUCACACCGCCUGGGAAUUACGAGCAUAAGCUUAAAACCCAAAGGACUUGACGGUGUCCCACCCACCUAGAGGAGCCUGUUUUUUAAUCGACACUACCCGAUAUACCCAACUGUUUUUUGAUAAUCAGCCUGUAUACCUCCGUCGCAAGCUUACCAUGUGAAUGACUCACAGCAAGCCCAAUGGAUUUUUAUCCAAAACGUCAGGUCAAGGUGCAGCCCACAUAACAGAUAAAAAUGGGCUACAAUUUCUAUGUUAGAACAAACGAAAGGCCUCAUGAAAUCUAGCCAAGAAGGCGGAUUUAGUAGUAAAAAGAAAAUAGAGAGUUCUUUUUAACAAAGCAAUGGGACGUGUACACACCGCCGGUCACCCUA